Molecule: ribosomal RNA, 404 nt
Filed under: Desulfobulbaceae bacterium
Lineage: Bacteria; Pseudomonadati; Thermodesulfobacteriota; Desulfobulbia; Desulfobulbales; Desulfobulbaceae
Description: partial 23S ribosomal RNA
Rfam family: Bacterial large subunit ribosomal RNA
Source: RNAcentral
CGAUGUCGGCUCAUCGCAUCCUGGGGCUGGAGCAGGUCCCAAGGGUUUGGCUGUUCGCCAAUUAAAGCGGUACGUGAGCUGGGUUUAAAACGUCGUGAGACAGUUUGGUCCUUAUCUGUUGCGGGCGUAGGAUAUUUGAGGAGAGCUGUUCCUAGUACGAGAGGACCGGAAUGGACGAACCGAUGGUGUUCCUGUUGUGGCGCCAGCCGCAUCGCAGGGUAGCUAAGUUCGGAAGGGAUAACCGCUGAAAGCAUCUAAGCGGGAAGCCCACUCCAAGAUUAGAUAUCCCGUGGGGUAAUACCCACCUAAAGGCUCGUUGAAGACUACAACGUCGAUAGGCCAGGUGUGGAAGUGUAGCGAUACAUGGAGCUUACUGGUACUAAUCAGCCGUGCGGCUUAACCAU